This 278-nucleotide unclassified non-coding RNA is filed under the name uncultured fungus. RNAcentral describes it as "sequence contains ITS1". The record is from RNAcentral. Lineage: Eukaryota; Fungi.
GUAACUAUUAAAGUUUUUCUGACGCUGACUGCAAUUGCAAAAGGUUUAAAAAAGGUCCUACUGGCAGGCAAGCCUGCCGAGGAAACAAUGGGUGCGCAAAAAUCAUGGGUAGUAUUCCGACAGGGCGGGGAGAAAAUGCUGAGUAUAUAUCGACAUUGGAGUAGGUAUGAAUCCCUCCGCUAUGGGCAUCAAGCCACCCGCAAUGGAUCUCAAGCAAUUCAAGGCCGGCCCCCGUGAUAUAGCGUUUAAUGAUCCUUCCGCAGGUUCACCUACGGAAA